CUCACUCUAGAUCUAGAGUUAAGAAAAAUCCUCACAGUUGUUCAGUACCCAAGCACUGGAGACACAAGAAAUGACACAAGGCGCCAACAGCACGUCUAAGCUGCACAUCUCUGUGGUGAGAAAAUAGCCUCCUCAAGUGCAUGCUCUAAAGUGUGUUCAUUUCUAGAGCAUGUGUAUGAGUGCUUUGCUUGCAUGCAUGUAUGUGUACCACAUGUGAGAGGUGCCCAUGUGCAUGCAUGUAUGUGCACCACAUGUGAGAGGUGCCCAUGUGCAUGCAUGUAUGUGCACCACAUGUGAGAGGUGCCCAUGUGCAUGCAUGUAUGUGCACCACAUGUGAGAGGUGCCCAUGUGCAUGCAUGUAUGUGCACCACAUGUGAGAGGUGCCCAUGUGCAUGCAUGUAUGUGCACCACAUGUGAGAGGUGCCCAUGUGCAUGCAUGUAUGUGUACCACAUGUGAGAGGU
Long non-coding RNA from Acomys russatus (golden spiny mouse), 462 nucleotides. RefSeq lists it as uncharacterized. The transcript has 4 exons. Lineage: Eukaryota; Metazoa; Chordata; Mammalia; Rodentia; Muridae. The record is from RefSeq and is a predicted model, not a curated record.